This 486-nucleotide ribosomal RNA is filed under the name uncultured Pseudomonadota bacterium. RNAcentral's name for it is "bacterial SSU rRNA". It matches the Rfam family "Bacterial small subunit ribosomal RNA", at positions 392 to 896 of the family's 1533-position model. Lineage: Bacteria; Pseudomonadati; Pseudomonadota. The record is from RNAcentral.
CAAUGCCGCGUGAGUGAUGAAGGCCUUAGGGUUGUAAAGCUCUUUUGCCAGGGACGAUGAUGACGGUACCUGGAGAAUAAGCCCCGGCUAACUUCGUGCCAGCAGCCGCGGUAAUACGAAGGGGGCGAGCGUUGUUCGGAAUUACUGGGCGUAAAGGGCGCGUAGGCGGUUUGACAAGUCAGGCGUGAAAUUCCCGGGCUCAACCUGGGGGCUGCGCUUGAUACUGUUGAGCUUGAAUGCAGGAGAGGAUGGUGGAAUUCCCAGUGUAGAGGUGAAAUUCGUAGAUAUUGGGAAGAACACCGGUGGCGAAGGCGGCCAUCUGGCCUGUGAUUGACGCUGAGGCGCGAAAGCGUGGGGAGCAAACAGGAUUAGAUACCCUGGUAGUCCACGCCGUAAACGAUGAGUGCUAGACGUUGGCGAGCAUGCUCGUCAGUGUCGCAGCUAACGCAUUAAGCACUCCGCCUGGGGAGUACGGCCGCAAGGUUA